CCAGACUCCUACGGGAGGCAGCAGUGGGGGAUAUUGCACAAUGGGGGAAACCCUGAUGCAGCGACGCCGCGUGAGUGAAGAAGUAUUUCGGUAUGUAAAGCUCUAUCAGCAGGGAAGAAGAUGACAGUACCUGAGUAAGGAGCCCCGGCUGACUACGUGCCAGCAGCCGCGGUAAUACGUAGGGGGCAAGCGUUAUCCGGAUUUACUGGGUGUAAAGGGAGCGUAGACGGAUGGAUAAGUCUGAAGUGAAAGCCCGCGGCUCAACUGCGGGACUGCUUUGGAAACUGUGCAUCUUGAGUACGGGAGGGGCAGGCGGAAUUCCUGGUGUAGCGGUGAAAUGCGUAGAUAUUAGGAGGAACACCAGUGGCGAAGGCGACUUUCUGGACUGUACCUGACGCUGAGGCGCGAAAGCGUGGGGAGCAAACAGGAUUAGAUACCCCAGUAG
Molecule: ribosomal RNA, 445 nt
Filed under: uncultured bacterium
Lineage: Bacteria
Description: bacterial SSU rRNA
Rfam family: Bacterial small subunit ribosomal RNA
Source: RNAcentral